UAGCAUAUCAAUAAGCGGAGGAAAAGAAACUAACAAGGAUUCCCCUAGUAGCGGCGAGCGAAGCGGGAAGAGCUCAAAUUUAUAAUCUGGCACCUUCGGUGUCCGAGUUGUAAUCUCUAGAAAUGUUUUCCGCGUUGGACCGCACACAAGUCUGUUGGAAUACAGCGGCAUAGUGGUGAGACCCCUGUAUAUGGUGCGGACGCCCAGCGCUUUGUGAUACAUUUUCGAAGAGUCGAGUUGUUUGGGAAUGCAGCUCAAAUUGGGUGGUAAAUUCCAUCUAAAGCUAAAUAUUGGCGAGAGACCGAUAGCGAACAAGUACCGUGAGGGAAAGAUGAAAAGCACUUUGGAAAGAGAGUUAACAGUACGUGAAAUUGUUGGAAGGGAAACGCUUGAAGUCAGACUUGCUUGCCGAGCAAUCGGUUUGCAGGCCAGCAUCAGUUUUCCGGGAUGGAUAAUGGUAGAGAGAAGGUAGCAGUUUCGGCUGUGUUAUAGCUCUCUGCUGGAUACAUCUUGGGGGACUGAGGAACGCAGUGUGCCUUUGGCGGGGGUUUCGACCUCUUCACACUUAGGAUGCUGGUGGAAUGGCUUUAAACGACCCGUCUUGAAACACGGACCAAGGAGUCUAACAUGCUUGCGAGUAUUUGGGUGUCAAACCCGGAUGCGUAAUGAAAGUGAAUGGAGGUGGGAACCGCAAGGUGCACCAUCGACCGAUCUGGAUUUUUAAUGAUGGAUUUGAGUAAGAGCACGUAUGUUGGGACCCGAAAGAUGGUGAACUAUGCCUGAAUAGGGCGAAGCCAGAGGAAACUCUGGUGGAGGCUCGUAGCGGUUCUGACGUGCAAAUCGAUCGUCAAAUUUGGGUAUAGGGGCGAAAGACUAAUCGAACCAUCUAGUAGCUGGUUCCUGCCGA
This 907-nucleotide ribosomal RNA is filed under the name Rhodotorula mucilaginosa. RNAcentral describes it as "LSU rRNA". It matches the Rfam family "Eukaryotic large subunit ribosomal RNA", at positions 36 to 964 of the family's 3401-position model. Lineage: Eukaryota; Fungi; Basidiomycota; Microbotryomycetes; Sporidiobolales; Sporidiobolaceae. The record is from RNAcentral.